Molecule: ribosomal RNA, 229 nt
Filed under: uncultured bacterium
Lineage: Bacteria
Description: partial 16S ribosomal RNA
Rfam family: Bacterial small subunit ribosomal RNA
Source: RNAcentral
UGCGUAGGCGGAUGCUUAAGUCAGAUGUGAAAGCCCUGGGCUUAACCUAGGAAUUGCAUCUGAUACUGGGCAUCUAGAGUAUGGUAGAGGAUAGUGGAAUUUCAGGUGUAGCGGUGAAAUGCGUAGAUAUCUGAAGGAACACCAGUGGCGAAGGCGGCUAUCUGGGCCAAUACUGACGCUGAGGUACGAAAGCAUGGGUAGCGAACAGGAUUAGAUACCCUGGUAGUCC